AAACUCUUGUGUUUCAUAAGUGUGAUCACAUGCAUGUGUGAGAUGUGUCCCCCUCAAAUAUUGUUAGGCUGUUGGCACAUUACCCAUAUGAUG
Molecule: small nucleolar RNA, 93 nt
Organism: Callithrix jacchus (white-tufted-ear marmoset)
Lineage: Eukaryota; Metazoa; Chordata; Mammalia; Primates; Cebidae
Source: Ensembl